CCACAUGGCCACACCUGAGUGUGAGUACCUGCUCCUGUCUGAGCUCAGAAGCUAAGCAGAGUUGUGCUGGGUCAGUACUUGGAUGGGAGACCACCUUGGAAGACCAGUGGGUUGUGUCAA
This 120-nucleotide ribosomal RNA is filed under the name Mastacembelus armatus (zig-zag eel). The record is from RNAcentral. Lineage: Eukaryota; Metazoa; Chordata; Actinopteri; Synbranchiformes; Mastacembelidae.